AACGAACGCUGGCGGCGUGCCUAACACAUGCAAGUCGAACGGGAAGGCCCUGCCUUUGUGCGGUGCUCGAGUGGCGAACGGGUGAGCAACACGUGAGUAACCAGUCCUUGACUUUGGGAUAACUUCAGGAAGCUGGGUCUAAUACCGGAUAGGAGCUCCUGCUGCAUGGUGGGGGCUGGAUAGUUUCGGCGGUUGGGGAUGGACUGGCGGCGCAUCAGCUUGUUGGUGGGGUAGUGUCAUACCAAGGCUUGGACGGGUAGCCGGGCUGAGAGGAUGAGCGGCCAAGUUGGGAUGGAGAUACGGCCCAGCCUCGUACGGGAGGGAGCGGAGGAGAAUAGUGCACAAGGGGCGGAAGCAUGGUGUAACAACGCCGCGUGGGGGAUGACAGGAUUCGGGUAGUAUUGCACAUUUGCCUGUGACGAGGCGUGAGUGACGGUAAUGGGUAAAGAGGCACCGGCUAACUACGUG
Molecule: ribosomal RNA, 468 nt
Filed under: uncultured bacterium
Lineage: Bacteria
Description: partial 16S ribosomal RNA
Rfam family: Bacterial small subunit ribosomal RNA
Source: RNAcentral